This 422-nucleotide ribosomal RNA is filed under the name uncultured bacterium. RNAcentral's name for it is "bacterial SSU rRNA". It matches the Rfam family "Bacterial small subunit ribosomal RNA", at positions 355 to 774 of the family's 1533-position model. The record is from RNAcentral.
UGAGGAAUAUUGGGCAAUGCCCGCAAGGGUGACCCAGCAACGCCGCGUGGAGGAUGAAUGUCGUAAGAUUGUAAACUCCUGUUAGAGGGGAAGAAUAGUACCGGUUGGACCGGUAUAUGACUGUACCCUCAGAGAAAGCCCCGGCUAACUACGUGCCAGCAGCCGCGGUAAUACGUAGGGGGCAAGCGUUGUCCGGAUUUACUGGGUGUAAAGGGCGCGCAGGCGGGAUAAAAAGUCAGUGGUGAAAUCCUACAGCUUAACUCGGAAACUGCCGUUGAUACUAUUUGUCUUGAAUAUUGUGGAGGUAAGCGGAAUAUGUCAUGUAGCGGUGAAAUGCUUAGAUAUGACAUAGAACACCAAUUGCGAAGGCAGCUUGCUACACAAUCAUUGACGCUGAGGCACGAAAGCGUGGGGAUCAAACA